This 402-nucleotide ribosomal RNA is filed under the name uncultured microorganism. Its description in RNAcentral is "bacterial SSU rRNA". It matches the Rfam family "Archaeal small subunit ribosomal RNA", at positions 330 to 735 of the family's 1478-position model. The record is from RNAcentral.
GUGCAGCAGGCGAGAAUCCUCCGCAAUGCGCGAAAGCGCGACGAGGCCACCCCGAGUGCCGCCCGCUGAGGGCGGCUUUUCCCCGGUGUAGACAGCCGGGGGAAUAAGGGGAGGGCAAGUCUGGUGUCAGCCGCCGCGGUAAUACCAGCUCCCCGAGUGGUGGGGACGAUUAUUGGGCCUAAAGCGUCCGUAGCCGGCCCGGCAAGUCUCCCGUUAAAUCCAGCGAUCUAAUCGCUGGACUGCGGGAGAUACUGUCGGGCUAGGGGGCGGGAGAGGCCGGCGGUAUUCCCGGGGUAGGGGUGAAAUCCUAUAAUCCCGGGAGGACCACCAGUGGCGAAGGCUGCCGGCUGGAACGCGCCCGACGGUGAGGGACGAAAGCCGGGGAGCGAACCGGAUUAGAUA